RNAcentral lists this unclassified non-coding RNA (415 nucleotides) under Mycobacterium sp. Myc399. RNAcentral's name for it is "intergenic spacer". Lineage: Bacteria; Bacillati; Actinomycetota; Actinomycetes; Mycobacteriales; Mycobacteriaceae. The record is from RNAcentral.
CUAAGGAGCACCACGAGAAUCAGGCCCGCCCGCAUCGUGUGGGAGUUCGGUGACCUUGGUCGAAUCGUGAAGAUGGCUUGUUCUCUGUAGUGGAGGCAGGUCUGGUGCAUGCAACAAACGUGAGAAGUGGUGUGGGAACACUGCUUUGAGGAAUUGCCGGACACACUAUUGGGCUUUGAGACAACAGGCCCGUGCCCCUUUUUUGUGGGGGUGGCUCCGCGUUGGUGGGGUCGGCGUGUUGUUGCCCUGCUUUGGUGGUGGGGUGUGGUGUUUGAUUUGUGGAUAGUGGUUGCGAGCAUCUGAGCAUGCUGGUCUUUGUGGGCUGGUGUGUUCGGUGUAAUGCAAAUUUUCUGAUAAAUCCCGGCUUCUCCUUUUGUGGGAGGGGUUGGGUGACUCAUUUUUUGGUUUUGUGUUG